Molecule: ribosomal RNA, 440 nt
Filed under: uncultured bacterium
Lineage: Bacteria
Description: partial 16S ribosomal RNA
Rfam family: Bacterial small subunit ribosomal RNA
Source: RNAcentral
GCUACGGGUGGCAGCAGUAGGGAAUAUUGCUCAAUGGGGGAAACCCUGAAGCAGCAACGCCGCGUGGAGGAUGAAGGUUUUCGGAUUGUAAAAUCCUUUUGUUAGAGAAGAUAAUGACGGUAUCUAACGGAUAAGCACCGGCUAACUUCGUGCCAGCAGCCGCGGUAAUACGGAGGGCGCAAGCGUUACUUGGUAUCACUGGGCGUAAAGAGCGCGUCGGCGGGAUAGCAAGUCAGAUGUGAAAUCCUAUGGCUUAACCCUAGAACUGCAUUUGAAACUGUUAUUCUAGAGUAUGGGAGAGGUAGGUGGAAUUCUUGGUGUAGGGGUAAAAGCCGUAGAGAUCUAGAGGAAUCCUCAUUGCGAAGGCGACCUGCUAGAACAUAACUGACGCUGAUGCGCGAAAGCGUGGGGAGCAAACAGGAUUAGAUACCCGUGUAGUC